This 96-nucleotide microRNA precursor is filed under the name Nicotiana sylvestris (wood tobacco). RNAcentral's name for it is "MIR6152 microRNA precursor family". It matches the Rfam family "MIR6152 microRNA precursor family". The record is from Rfam by way of RNAcentral. Lineage: Eukaryota; Viridiplantae; Streptophyta; Magnoliopsida; Solanales; Solanaceae. RNAcentral also lists the same sequence under 1 other name.
UGGAUAGAUUAUUGUAUUCGAUUGUAUUCACGGCGUGAAACAGGGGAUUACACAGUUUUUAAACUAAAAGUGAAUCAAUUAACAUAAUAGACUCCU